CCUCCCUGGGCCCCGCCCCCGACACUGCCCUUCUCGGGACUAGACCCCCUCUGCGCCCGGGCGCCCCCUGCACCCCAGGAGCCCCACUCCUUCUUCUUUAGUGCGAGUGCGCCCGAGCGUUGACUUUCGGGGACUCCCUCUCCCCCACCUCGCAGAGACCUUCUGUGGCUCCCCCCCCCAUCCGGCCGCUCAGACGUGGCUGUUGGGGGUGGGGGUUGGAGAGGGCGGGCUAUAAAGGGCCCGAGGCUGCGCGGGCCGAGCCCCAAGACGUGGCGCGCCCACCCUGCCGGCCUCAUCUCCAGCCACAUGGCUCGAGACACUGCCAGCUCAUCGGAGCAGAGCCCAAAGGAGGCUGGAAAGACCACCACGGAUACCCGGAGGAGGUGAAGACACUGCUGUAGGUCAGGAGUGCCCUCAGAGGGAACCCUGGAUAUUUGUGAUCUUUAAUGACUGGACGAGAUUGUAUUGACAUCAUGAAAAAUCUCAGUCUGGAAAUCAUAGCCUCUGGGCAUUUACAUCUUAACCAGAUUUUCGUACAGAUGAGCGGGGGACACAUCACAGUCAUCAGCUACAAGUGGUCUUCUACUCUGGUUUUCCUCCUUUUAGAUCUGUGGCAUUUAAGAAUUAAUAAAACUGCUAGAUCAACAACCCCA
Long non-coding RNA from Ailuropoda melanoleuca (giant panda), 653 nucleotides. RefSeq lists it as uncharacterized. The transcript is spliced from 2 exons. NCBI's taxonomy places the organism in Eukaryota, Metazoa, Chordata, Mammalia, Carnivora, Ursidae. The record is from RefSeq and is a predicted model, not a curated record.